Molecule: long non-coding RNA, 2924 nt
Organism: Salmo salar (Atlantic salmon)
Lineage: Eukaryota; Metazoa; Chordata; Actinopteri; Salmoniformes; Salmonidae
Source: RefSeq, a predicted model, not a curated record
GGGGGGCAGACACAGAGGUAUCUGCCUCUGCUGAUGCUGCAGUUUCCAGUGUGUAUGUGAGAGGCAGUCUGCAGGUGUGUGUGUGUGUGUGUGUGUGUGUGUGUGUGUGUGUGUGUGUGUGUGUGGUACAAAGGCUACAGGAUUACUGAAGUGGAGAGACACACAAACACGAUCUCUGGGUCAGGGGGACACCUCUCUCUUCUAAUUUAAAGCGACAGAGGAGCAAGCCAGCGCUGCAUUUAUCUGCUCUGAUGACAAUCAGCAGAACCUCCCAAACCACCGUACCCUCGAACCGUACUGCCGUCAGCCAAAACCUAACCUCAGCUUGCAGAGGAGCUGCCUCUCUGACCGCUGGUCGGAUCAUCCCAGGUCAGGAUGAGGGGCACGUCGUCAUCCGUACCCUCCAUUCUCCCGGACUGGCAAGAUGAAAUCCACAGGAAAAAGCAACGUAGUACCCCCCAACUAGCUAGCUAGCGUUAUUAGCUGAUAAUUCCUGCUAGCUAGACUAGCCCUUAGCUACUGGCUAAUGCUAUGGUCAAAACAUACACGACAUAGCUAGCUAUCAUCUGCAGCUAGCAUAACGACGCAUCUUGCUAGCUAGAUAACGUUAGCUAUCUCUUCCUACCUGGAUAACUAGCUAGCUUUCCAGGUGACUCCACUAAACUAAGAGUGCUCGAAAAGCACCCGAUAAACGAGCUUAUCUUCAUUAACAGUCGUCUAUUAGUCAAAUAGAGCUAGAUACUAGAGCUAGAUACUGCUCCUUGAUUUAUCCCGAGUUGACAUCUGUCAUUGACCAGUAAACUAUGCUAUUCUAACUAAUCGAUGUCCAGUCCAUCAGCAUCAGCUGCCUACAAAGAUAUUUGCUAGCGGAGACUGAGAAGAGUAAAGUGAAGAGUUUUGUAAACCAUGACUUAUAAGCAUUUUAUUGGUACCACCAUCAACUAAGGAAGUGAUGUCACUGAGUACUACCCCCAUUUAUAGAACCUUUCACCCACACCUGGGAUGAUGCCUGAUGAAGACCAAAGGGUUGAAACGUUGUUAUAGUAAAGUCACCUGGGAGCAUAAGCAGCAGUGUGUGGCAUUUUCCUUUUUAUUUGGCAUGUAAUACAACUAUCUAAUGAGCCUAAAUAACAUGAUCAUGACCAUUAUUUACCCCCCCCCCCCCCACACCUCUUAGUAACUGUGUUGUAAAACCUUGUCCCUUCAGUAAGUAUUCAUACCCUUUGACUUAUUCCAAAUGUUGCAGUUUUACAGCCUGAAUCCAAAAAGGAUUAGUGAGGGGCUGCCAUUGAGGCUGCUGGAGUUGCAGGGGGUAUUGUUAGAGAAACUGAUCACCAGCCCGGCUGAGGAAUGUGAAAGAACACGCUACAUGCAGGUGUUGCUUCGCCAUGACACCAACAUGGAGCUAGUUGCAACACUGGAGAUGGAAGUCGCUGCCGCCAUCGAAGACAGAGAUGCAAAGAUCUCUAAGAAAAAUGAGGUGAUCAGGAAGUUGAAGAGCUCUAUCACACCCUGAUCUGUUUCACCUGUCUUUGUGAUUGUCUCCACCCCCCUCCAGGUGUCGCCCAUCUUCCCCAUUAUCCCUUGUGUAUUUAUACCUGUGUUCUGUUUCUGUUGCCAGUUUGUCCAAGUCAACCAGUGGUUUGUGUCUCAGCGCCUGCUUUGUCCAGUCUCUUUUCUCGCCCUCCUGGUUUUGACCCUUGCCUGUCCUGACUCCGAGCCGGCCUGACUGACCACUCUGCCUGACCCUGAGCCUCUGCUGACCUGUACCUUUGCAGCCCUCUGGAUUACCGACCUCUGCCUUACCCUGAGCCUGCCUGCCACCCUGUACCGUUGCCCUACCUCUGGUUUACGGACUCCUGCCUGCCUUGACCUGUCUAUUGACUGCCCGUUGGAAUAUUAAACUAUUGUUUACUCGACGUGGUCUGCAUCUGGGUCUUCCCUUCAUACCUGAUACUCUGCACCAGAUGGAGAAGAUCUGAGGACUUUGUGUUUGCAAACACAGCAGGAAACCGGCAAGCAGGGGUGCCAGGUCAAGCUAAAACUUCUAGCCUAAGGACCACUCAAAACCACCCAAAAGGCCUAAAAACUAGCCCACAUUUUUUUUUCACAGCAAGAGAGGAGUUGCCAUAUCUAUACAAUAAACCCCUUUUCCAUAAGGUUAUCGAGCCAAUUAAGGAAUAUCAUAGUAACUUGUAACGACCGUUAGAAGCAAAAUUCGGGUUUCCUCAAAAUAAUUAUUGUAAGCUAUGACAUAAUAAAGGAAUUUGAAUAAGUUACAAGAGAAAAGAUAAUUUGCCCUUAAACUCACCAGAUCAUUUUCCAUCAAUGGAUGUCGAUUUAACCUGCUUGACUGCUAUGAUUAAGUAAUAAGGCACAAGGGGGUAUGGUAUAUGGCCAAUAUACCACGGCUAAGGGCUGUUCUUAAGAAUGACGCAACGCGGAGUGCCUGGAUACAGCCUUUAUCCGUGGUAUAGUGGCCAUAUACCACAAACCCCCGGGGUGCCUUACUGCUAUUAUAAACUGGUUACCAACGUAAUUAGAGCAGUAAAAUGUAAUGUUCUGUCAUACCGUGGUAUAUUGUUACGUACGCCUCUAGGAAGAGGAAACGCAACACCCUGCUACAACUCAACUUCCCGUGGAGUGAAAGAGGUAUGGGACUGUAGGUGCGAGUAAGGAUGACAAAAGGCAGAGAAUUUACCGUUUACUAGGAAUUUAUUCCGUCACACGGUAAAUUUGGGGAAAAGGGGCUGAACGGAACCAAAGCAAGUAAAUGUCAAAGCCCCCUCUCCUACCUUAACUACCCACUACUUACCUAACUAGCACCACCUUGCGCACUAACCAAAAUACAGGGGAUGGUCCACCCAGGUCUUACCUAGUGUGCAUAGACAGAGUAUAUACUACGGGUAUAUGUAUGCCUGCAG